This is a non-coding RNA of Coturnix japonica (Japanese quail), 2132 nucleotides long. The record is from RefSeq and is a predicted model, not a curated record. Lineage: Eukaryota; Metazoa; Chordata; Aves; Galliformes; Phasianidae.
CAACCCCCUGCUGUGUGUAGGGUCACCAACCACCAGACCAGGCUGCACAGAGCCACAUCCAGCCUGGCCUCGAAUGCCUCCAGGACAUCCAUUUCUGUCUUCAAAUGGGUUUCUCCUCAUCACAAGAACUGGGUGAUCAGAGCACUGUGAUGGUGUCCAACAGAGCUGCGCUUUGGUUGCUCUUUGGUUCCCCUCUUCCCGUGGGAAGUAGAAUCCUGCACUCCCAUCUUUCAGAUCCCUUCUCCCUGCCUGCCAUCCCAGAUGUCCCGGAGCAGCAUCCUUCACUCCAAGAAGCACAGAAGCGGCUGAUGGCAGCAUCCCACCACGCUGUCCCUGCCCACAGGGAUCCCACCUGCAGCCAUGGCAACCGGCCUCGAGAGCGAAUUCCCCGCAUCCUCCCUCCUGUCCCUGGGGUCUGAAUUCCUGCCGACCCCCCCAGGGCAGGCACAAGGGGGCUGAGCCCUGCCUGGCCCUGCCGUGCACCCACAAACAGCCAAGCAGACCCAGCAGACACCCCCGAGCCUCCUCCCGGACCAAACAGCACUGUUUGCUGCUGGCAUUUUUGGGAGCAGCAUCGGGGUGGAAUGCGGCCCUUGGCGUCGGGACAGGAGUUGACAUUCCCAGCUCGGGCUGAAGAAUGUGGACAUGGUGUUCACUCCAAGCCCUGGAGUUCAUUCACCCACGUGAGGGGAACACCAGGACCUCAGUGGCCGGGAGCUCCCUUCCCAAUGCAGCAAACACGGGCUCUGCUAUCCCCACCACCACCACCUCCAUUACACCUAAUGGAGAGCUGCAGCUGCUAUUGACACGCUUCAGAAUGCCACACAUUGCCUGGCGUCCCUUUUGUUUGGAGCAGGGUCUCACCAUCCAGAAUAGUUUUGCAUCCCCGCUGUUCUCUCCGCUUCGUGGGGCUGAAAUCAGACACGGUGCAGUUACUCACCGUUUACUAAGACUGGUUUGCAUGGGGCUCUGCCUCUUAACAUAGCAAAGCUUCAUCAACGGCGGUGAUACGACACAGCGAAGGCAGAAAGAUCCCCACUGAUUCACCACCCCAUUACAUCAGUGCAACCACGUCGGGGAAAUGCUUCAUCCCACAGCUUGGAAAGGCUGCCGGAGCCCCGAGAUUGCAGGGAAAGCUGGGGAGUUUCGGAAGGAUGUGAGGAAUUCUCCAUUUGAAUCACAGAAUCCUUAUGUUUUCAAAGACCCCUCAGAUCCCCAAGUCCAAUGCAGCCCACCCCACUGUGCCCACUGCACUCAGUGAGCUGCGGAGCAAUGAGGGCUCCCCUGAGCCUCCUCUUCUCCAGACUGACCCACCCCAGUUCCUUCAGCUGCUCCUCAUCACACUUUGUGCCCCACAGCCCUCACAGCUCCGCUGCCCUCUGGACAGCAUCAGUGUCGUUCAAUGUAUCAGCGUCAUUCAGUGUCUUCCAGCAUAUUGAGCCACAGUUUGAUGAACUUCCCCCUUAGGGAACGGGGCUUCAGGAGGAGGUGUGUAGGAUGGCAGUGGGCAUCACACAAAGCUGUGUGCUUGAAGAGAUGGUGAUGCUGCCCCUCUGCAUUGCUCCACAGCCCAGCCCUGCUCCUGGCAAAGCUCUGUGUGUUGCGCAAGGAGCAGGAGGCCGUGCAGGACCUGGAGCAGGCAGCAGGGCCGCUUGCCUUGACACGUUGCAGCAAGCCAGCUCUUCCUAGUCACACUGACAGCGCAGCGUUCCCCAAGCUCAAGACAUUGAAAGACAUCGCUGCUCCCUGCAGCUCCCUAAAGGAGGGUGCACUGAGUGCCCAGCACCCACGAGCUCAGCAGCUCAUUUCAGGGCAGGGUCACCCUGGAUGCCUGGGGAUGUAAAAGUGGCUGCAGCCGAUGCUCCGGUCCUCCCCUAAAAACGCAGACAGGCGUCUCAGCUGUGGGGCCAUCACCUGAAAUAGCUUGGGGCAGCUCUAUUUGGGGACAGCGCUGCUGCUGAGCCCGGCCAUGGGCUCCUGCCCUGCUCCGAGCUGUGUGUGCUGGGACAAACCCUCCCGGAGGAGGAGGAAGCCGGGCCAGUUUUCCAGAUUAUUUCAUUUUCUUAGAAUUUCCUCCAUCGGUUCCAUUUUAUGAUGAUGAUUAUUAAUUACUAAUUAUUCUCCUUCUUCCA